Molecule: ribosomal RNA, 262 nt
Filed under: uncultured bacterium
Lineage: Bacteria
Description: partial 16S ribosomal RNA
Rfam family: Bacterial small subunit ribosomal RNA
Source: RNAcentral
UACGUAGGAUCCAAGCGUUGUCCGGAUUUACUGGGUGUAAAGGGUGCGCAGGCGGACUGGUUAGUCUGGGGUGAAAUCUCAUCGCUUAACGGUGAAACUGCCUUAGAUACUGCCAGUCUUGAAUCAGCGAGAGGUUCGUGGAAUUCCGAGUGUAGCAGUGAAAUGUGUAGAUAUUCGGAAGAACACCAGUGGCGAAGGCAGCGAACUGGCGCUCGAUUGACGCUCAGGCACGAAAGCAUGGGGAAUCAAACAGGAGUUAGAA